Molecule: ribosomal RNA, 253 nt
Filed under: uncultured bacterium
Lineage: Bacteria
Description: partial 16S ribosomal RNA
Rfam family: Bacterial small subunit ribosomal RNA
Source: RNAcentral
UACGUAGGGCGCAAGCGUUGUCCGGAAUUAUUGGGCGUAAAGAGCUCGUAGGCGGCUUGUCACGUCGGGUGUGAAAGCCCGGGGCUUAACCCCGGGUCUGCAUUCGAUACGGGCUAGCUAGAGUGUGGUAGGGGAGAUCGGAAUUCCUGGUGUAGCGGUGGAAUGCGCAGAUAUCAGGAGGAACACCGGUGGCGAAGGCGGGUCUCUGGGCAGUAACUGACGCUGAGGAGCGAAAGCGUGGGGAGCGAACGGG